RNAcentral lists this ribosomal RNA (455 nucleotides) under uncultured bacterium. RNAcentral's name for it is "bacterial SSU rRNA". It matches the Rfam family "Bacterial small subunit ribosomal RNA", at positions 340 to 786 of the family's 1533-position model. The record is from RNAcentral.
UACGGGAGGGCAGCAGUGGGGAAUAUUGCACAAUGGGCGAAAGCCUGAUGCAGCUAUGCCGCGUGUAUGAAGAAGGCCUUAGGGUUGUAAAGUACUUUCAUCGGGGAGGAAAAACAAAACUAAUAAUUUUAUUUCUUGACGUUACCCGAAAAAGAAGCACCGGCUAACUCCGUGCCAGCAGCCGCGGUAAUACGGAGGGUGCUAGCGUUAAUCAGAAUUACUGGGCGUAAAGAGCACGUAGGUGGUUUUUUUAAGUCAGAUGUGAAAUCCCUGGGCUUAACCUGGAACUGCAUUUUGAAACUGAAAUACUAGAGUAUCGUAGAGGGAGGUAGAAUUCUAGGUGUAGCGGUGAAAUGCGUAGAUAUCUGGAGGAAUACCUGUGGCGAAAGCGGCCUCCUAAACGAAUACUGACACUGAGGUGCGAAAGCGUGGGGAGCAAACAGGGAUUAGAUACC